UGGGGAAUAUUGCACAAUGGGCGCAAGCCUGAUGCAGCCAUGCCGCGUGUAUGAAGAAGGCCUUCGGGUUGUAAAGUACUUUCAGCGGGGAGGAAGGGAGUAAAGUUAAUACCUUUGCUCAUUGACGUUACCCGCAGAAGACGCUCCGGCUAACUCCGUGCCAGCAGCCGCGGUAAUACGGAUGGUGCAAGCGUUAAUCGGAAUUACUGGGCGUAAAGCGCACGCAGGCGGUUUGUUAAGUCAGAUGUGAAAUCCCCGGGCUCAACCUGGGAACUGCAUCUGAUACUGGCAAGCUUGAGUCUCGUAGAGGGGGGUAGAAUUCCAGGUGUAGCGGUGAAAUGAGUAGAGAUCUGGAGGAAUACCGGUGGCGAAGGCGGCCCCCUGGACGAAGACUGACGCUCAGGUGCGAAAGCGUGGGGAGCAAACAGG
This 429-nucleotide ribosomal RNA is filed under the name Chloroflexota bacterium. Its description in RNAcentral is "Chloroflexi bacterium partial 16S ribosomal RNA". It matches the Rfam family "Bacterial small subunit ribosomal RNA", at positions 355 to 776 of the family's 1533-position model. Lineage: Bacteria; Bacillati; Chloroflexota. The record is from RNAcentral.